This is a non-coding RNA of Hydra vulgaris (swiftwater hydra), 859 nucleotides long. Lineage: Eukaryota; Metazoa; Cnidaria; Hydrozoa; Anthoathecata; Hydridae. The record is from RefSeq and is a predicted model, not a curated record.
CUAACGCACAAUUUUUCAGCCUGGAAUUGGAAAAGUAAAUCGUCUGAUUUUAUUGUCAAAAUGGUUUGAAGAUAAUAAAAGGUAUGUUGGAAGAUUGGACCACUGGAAGAUUGGACCACAGAAAAAUGGAGAAAGGUAUCGAAUAUUGUAGCAACGGUUAUGUUUAUUGCAUGAAUGCAAAAUGAAGUGAACAGGUAAUCAGUGGUUACAGGAUGUUAAUCUAAUGUGUGCUCAAGGCUUUUACAGUGUGUUUAUAUUUUUAGGUUUGCUUCAGAGACGAUUUUAUAUUCGAGAUACUCGACGAUAAAUAUCAGUACGUGCGCCAUUGUUCUGGGGAAGAAUUUCAUCCACAAUGUCUGUUGAAGACCGUCAAGCAUCCUACCUCAGUAAUGGUAUGGUCGAUAAUAAGUUCUUAUAGUGCAGGACCCCGUAGGAUUGUUGAGGGCAGAAUGGAUUUACAUUAAUACACCAACAUGUUGGAGAACAAACUUGUACCUCAACUUCCAAUUCGUUUUCCUUAUGGUGGUUUCAUCUUCCAACAAAACAACACACCGUAUCAUAUGGCACGCUGUUACAAACUUUUUGAACCGUAAUAAUGUUCCUAUGAAUUAUAGUCAAAAAGAGAAUUGCCGACAGAAAGCCAACAAGAAAAGUCGCAUUGAUUAAGGCGCUCAUAGAGGUUUGGACACAUAAUCCAGAAAUACAAGACAUGUGUCCAAGACUGAUUGAUGGAAUGCCUAAGAGUAUUGAAAAACUUAUUGCAACUAGAGGAGCAUUCACAAAAUACUAAACUAGGCUCAUUUUAUGACAUUGUAUGUGUCUUUAUAAGAUAUAUUAGAAAAAUUCACUUUUUCGACAA